RNAcentral lists this small RNA (29 nucleotides) under Bombyx mori (domestic silkworm). RNAcentral's name for it is "ovarian small RNA-3292". Lineage: Eukaryota; Metazoa; Arthropoda; Insecta; Lepidoptera; Bombycidae. The record is from RNAcentral.
UCCAACUGAUCAUGCACCACGUCUCGCCU